CCUUUAGUGAUUACACACGUUUAAGGCUUCCACAAACCAUGAGUGACACCUUGCAGCAUAUCAUGGUUACCCAAGCUAAUCAGAAGAGGUAGAGAAAACCUAUUCAGUUUGGUAUUACAAAUGCAAUACGGUCUUUCUCUAAUCUAAUACUUCUGACCACAUUGUUUGGUUUGAUAGUUUAUUUAUCCAUGUCUACUAUCCAAUGUGAUUC
Molecule: long non-coding RNA, 211 nt
Filed under: Malus domestica (apple)
Lineage: Eukaryota; Viridiplantae; Streptophyta; Magnoliopsida; Rosales; Rosaceae
Description: long non-coding RNA (MDOM_LNC020557)
Source: RNAcentral